UAGGGAAUCUUCCACAAUGGACGCAAGUCUGAUGGAGCAACGCCGCGUGAGUGAAGAAGGUUUUCGGAUCGUAAAGCUCUGUUGUUGGUGAAGAAGGAUAGAGGCAGUAACUGGUCUUUAUUUGACGGUAAUCAACCAGAAAGUCACGGCUAACUACGUGCCAGCAGCCGCGGUAAUACGUAGGUGGCAAGCGUUGUCCGGAUUUAUUGGGCGUAAAGCGAGCGCAGGCGGAAUGAUAAGUCUGAUGUGAAAGCCCACGGAUCAACCGUGGAACUGCAUCGGAAACUGUCAUUCUUGAGUGCAGAAGAGGAGAGUGGAAUUCCAUGUGUAGCGGUGGAAUGCGUAGAUAUAUGGAAGAACACCAGUGGCGAAGGCGGCUCUCUGGUCUGCAACUGACGCUGAGGCUCGAAAGCAUGGGUAGCGAACAGG
RNAcentral lists this ribosomal RNA (429 nucleotides) under bacterium. Its description in RNAcentral is "partial 16S ribosomal RNA". It matches the Rfam family "Bacterial small subunit ribosomal RNA", at positions 355 to 776 of the family's 1533-position model. The record is from RNAcentral.